AUGGUCCCUUUACCACGGGAGCAGCUGCAGGCGACUGCGAGAUGCUUAAAUUCCUACAACGAAAGGCUGCAGUUCAGCUACGGCUCGACAGCUGGGGAAACGCAGGUCGCAGAGACGCCUCGACAGUCUGCUGCCGCCCGACUGAGCCACAGGACGCGUCUCCAUCGCCAGAGGGACAGACAACCGCCCAGACAUGGACUCCGAUUUGGCCGCAGCGGCCGAAUGUCACGACAAACCGGCGGGAGCCGUGGAGCCCAAGAUCGAGGGCAAGUCCAGCCAGGAGGUCAACGCCUUCUGGAGCAAAGACAAACACCAGGAGAAGGACAAGAAGGACCACCACAAACACGGCGAGAAAAAGCACAAGGAGGGCGAGAAAAAGCACCACAAACACGGCGAGGGGGGCGAUUCGGACAGCUCCUCUUCCUCCAGCGGCGGGGACGACGGGAAGGGGAAAGGCAAGAAGGAGAAGAAGCACAAGGACAAGAAGCACUGACGGCCCUCUGGCCAGCCCGCAGCGUCUCUCCGACCUGCAUCCUUACAGUGAUGGCCGCUUCCGAAAGCUGCAUGAAUAAAACUACGUGACUUUACACCUUCUUCUUGGUCCGUUUCAUUUCAUUUCUGCCCACGGGCCUGUUUGCUCAGGAAUUCGCCCUGACAGGUGGCGGCUGUGACGGGCUCUGGAAAGUGGGGGCGGUUUUUCCGUAGCGUCUACUCUGGGGGGCGGGAAUUAAAUACCACCACAAACACAGGAAGAAAGCAUAAAACAAACUUUUAUUUUCUUUAAAGACCGAUUAAAAGGUGCAAUAUAAAACAAGGACAAGGACACAAAAAGACAGAUUUUCACUCUUUACCAGCGUUCCUCAAGGCACAGACUGGUAUGAAUAUAAAAACAGCAAAAUAUUUACAUCACAGCUUCACAAUCUCCCAUAACCACCGCAGUCUAUCUGCUUCGCUCCCUUUCUUUGGUUUCGUAAUAAAUACUGCUCCCCACCCCACAUUCAAACGCAAAACAAUAAAAUAACAAUGCUGUACAUAUCAAUAUCACACACGCUUGUGACCUUAAGAACCCGGGAGGAAAGUGCACGGCGCAAUUCACAUGAAAACUGUCCGGUGUCAACGCUAACCGCAUAUAUAGAUAUAAGACUGUAUAAUGAAUAAAAAUGAUGUAUCGUCGUUCCUUAGAAGCAGCAGGUACCGAAGAAACAAAAGAAAGGCGCUGCAGGUGAAGGUGCUGGCGCAGACAGCCAGCGUGGAACUCGAAGUCCACUCCCAGGGCAGCCGCCAUCACGAGCGAGAGACGGCACCCGCGGCGGUCUCAUCAGGACGGAACGUGCUCUGGCCACACGCCGCGGGAUUUUUAAAAAGUUACCGCAAUAUCUAAAACGCAAAGCGCCGACAAAAAUAACUCAUUGACAAGCAGGCUCUGCAGGCAAAAGCCCAGGGACACUGCUGGAGGACAGGGGUACGAGAAGGCCGCCCUGGGGCGGAUGACUGGUUUAGAGCCGCGGACGGCCCUCAGCUGCAGUCCAGCUUCCUGGCGGUCAUCCUCAGCAGCUGCUCGGAGUAGCGCUCCAGCAGGGCCUGCGUGCGCGCGUCCUGCAGCUGACGGGAGGGCGAGGGCGUGGCCUGGGCGGGGCCGCGCACGGCCUCCAGCUCCGUCUGCACCGCCGAGAAGGCGUCGGCCAGGACGGACUUCAUCUGCUGCUCCGCGCCGCCCGCCGCCAGCUGGGGAGGGGAGAGGGAGGGCUGCUGAGCGCUGUAGGCCAACGCCCUUGAUGUGCUUGUGUGAUCAACGUAUGGAGGGGCAGGACUGAGCCCGCGCGCUCACCUGGCAGUACAGAGACACGGCUUUCUUCAGCGCCUGCUGCAGCUCCUUCACCACGCGCUGGCAGGCCUGCAGGCUGACGGGCUCCUGGCACGCACCUGGACACAGACAGAGUCAGAGCGGCGCCAGCGGGAGGCGCAGGGGGCUGUCCGGGCACCGCCGUGGGGCGACUGGCUUACCGGUGUCGGUGUCGGGGGCCCGGCUGCCCUCGGUGGGCGUCUCCGUCUCGGGCUCGGUCCGCAGCGGCUCAGGUACCGGCGUGGGAGCCCUCGACCCGCCAGCGUGCGGGUCAGCGUGGCUCUGGAGCCUGGCGACGGGCCCGAGACUCGCCCAGGAGCGGGCCGGGCUGCAGGCCUGCGACUGCAGGCUCUCCUCCACGCUGUCCAGGUAGCUCUUCCCUUCCUUGCCCAGCGA
This 2239-nucleotide long non-coding RNA is filed under the name Lepisosteus oculatus (spotted gar). Its description in RNAcentral is "lncRNA (ENSLOCG00000021007.1)". The record is from RNAcentral. Lineage: Eukaryota; Metazoa; Chordata; Actinopteri; Semionotiformes; Lepisosteidae.